This 468-nucleotide ribosomal RNA is filed under the name uncultured bacterium. Its description in RNAcentral is "partial 16S ribosomal RNA". It matches the Rfam family "Bacterial small subunit ribosomal RNA", at positions 28 to 507 of the family's 1533-position model. The record is from RNAcentral.
GACGAACGCUGGCGGCGUGCUUAACACAUGCAAGUCGAACGGACAGGCCCUGCUUUUGUGGGGUGCUCGAGUGGCGAACGGGGGAGUAACACGUGAGUAACCUGCCCUUGAAUUUGUGGUAACUUCAGGGAACUGGGGCUAAUACCGGAGAGGAUCUCCUGCUGCAUGUUGGUGGUUGGAAAGUUUCGGCGGUUGGGGCUGGUCUCGCGGCUUAUCGGCUUGUUGGGGUGGUAGGGGUGUACCAAGGUUUUGAGGGGUAGCCGGCCUGGGAGGGUGACCGGCCACAUUGGGCCUGAGAUACGGCCCAGACUGCUACGGGAGGCAGCAGGGGGGAAUAUUGCGCAAUGGGCCGAAGUCUGAUGCAGCAACGCCGCGUGCGGGAUGCCGGCCUUCUGGUUGUAAACCGCUUUCGCAUGUGACGAAGCGUGAGUGACGGUAAUGGGUAAAGAAGCACCGGCUAACUACGUG